GGGGUCAUAGCUCAGCUGGGAGAGCAUCUGCCUUGCAAGCAGAAGGUCAUCGGUUCGAUCCCGAUUGGCUCCA
Molecule: transfer RNA, 73 nt
Filed under: Leptospiraceae bacterium
Lineage: Bacteria; Pseudomonadati; Spirochaetota; Leptospiria; Leptospirales; Leptospiraceae
Description: tRNA-Ala
Rfam family: tRNA
About the family: Transfer RNA (tRNA) molecules are approximately 80 nucleotides in length. Their secondary structure includes four short double-helical elements and three loops (D, anti-codon, and T loops).
Source: RNAcentral